Parelaphostrongylus tenuis is the source of this 72-nucleotide non-coding RNA. The record is from the annotation of a GenBank genome assembly. Lineage: Eukaryota; Metazoa; Nematoda; Chromadorea; Rhabditida; Metastrongylidae.
GCCUCGGUGCUGCAGUUGAUUAGCACGUGUCUUUGGAAGGGUGGAAUGUGGGUUCGAUUUCCGUCCGAGGCU